RNAcentral lists this ribosomal RNA (450 nucleotides) under uncultured Glomeromycotina. RNAcentral describes it as "SSU rRNA". It matches the Rfam family "Eukaryotic small subunit ribosomal RNA", at positions 569 to 1026 of the family's 1831-position model. Lineage: Eukaryota; Fungi; Glomeromycota. The record is from RNAcentral.
AGCAGCCGCGGUAAUUCCAGCUCCAAUAGCGUAUAUUAAAGUUGUUGCAGUUAAAAAGCUCGUAGUUGAAUUUCGAGAUCAAAUUGUUGGUCGUGCCUCGGUACGUACUGGCAUUAUUGAUUUCUCCUUUCUGAAGAACCAUGAUGUCAUUAAUUUGGUGUCUUGGGAAUCAGGACCGUUACUUUGAAAAAUUAGAGUGUUUAAAGCAGGCUCACGCUUGAAUACAUUAGCAUGGAAUAAUGAAAUAGGACGUUUGAUUCUAUUUUGUUGGUUUCUAGGAUCGACGUAAUGAUUAAUAGGGAUAGUUGGGGGCAUUAGUAUUCAAUUGUCAGAGGUGAAAUUCUUGGAUUUAUUGAAGACUAACUACUGCGAAAGCAUUUGCCAAGGAUGUUUUCAUUAAUCAAGAACGAAAGUUAGGGGAUCGAAGACGAUCAGAUACCGUCGUAGUCU